Molecule: ribosomal RNA, 435 nt
Filed under: uncultured bacterium
Lineage: Bacteria
Description: partial 16S ribosomal RNA
Rfam family: Bacterial small subunit ribosomal RNA
Source: RNAcentral
AGCGAACGCUGGCGGCAGGCUUAACACAUGCAAGUCGAGCGGGCAUCUUCGGAUGUCAUCGGCAGACGGGUGGGUAACACGGGGGAACGUACCCUUCGGUUCGGAACUACUCUGGGAAACUGGAGCUAGUACCGGAUACGCCCUUAAGGGGGAAGGUUUACUGCCGAAGGAUCGGCCCGCGUCUGAUUAGCUGGUUGGUGGGGUAAGGGCGUACCAAGGCGACGAGCAGGAGCUGGUCUGAGAGGCUGAUCAGCCACACUGGGACUGAGACGCGGCCCGGACUCCUACGGGAUGCAGCAGAGGGGAAUACAGGCCAAUGGGGGCAAGGCAGAACCCGCCAUGCCGCGUGAGUGAUGAAGGCCUUAGGGUUGUAAAGCUCUUUUGUCCGGGACGAUAAUGACGGUACCGAAAGAAUAAGCCCCGGCUAACUUCGUG